This 388-nucleotide long non-coding RNA is filed under the name Lepisosteus oculatus (spotted gar). Its description in RNAcentral is "lncRNA (ENSLOCG00000021575.1)". The record is from RNAcentral. Lineage: Eukaryota; Metazoa; Chordata; Actinopteri; Semionotiformes; Lepisosteidae.
UUAACAGCAAUGAACUGCUGUCAAUUAACGGCAGAUGUUUGUGCAACAUGCAACUAAUUAAAAACUUAAAAUUAAGCCGAAUUAAAUCACAAGGAAAGCAGCACGGAAAGACAAACGCGCACUUUUCCAAGCUUGCUUGCGGUUGCGCUGGGGUGCUUGACAACCUGCCCCCCUCUCUGCAUCGCCUCGCUGCCGGCACCUCCCAGAGAUCUCCUUCGUUUGCGCCAUGUGGACUCCGACCGGCUCUCGGGUCCCGGCACCGCAGGCUCCUCACAUUAAACCAUGAUGCUUUUCUAUUGUUUCUCUGAGACUGUUUAAUGGCUUCAAAACUCAUAUCGGAUCUUGCAAGUCACUUUUUGUUGUUGUUGUUGUUUUUUCCAAAUCCUGC